UGGGGAAUUUUGGACAAUGGGCGAAAGCCUGAUCCAGCAAUGCCGCGUGUGUGAAGAAGGCCUUCGGGUUGUAAACCUCUUUUAGCAGGGAAGAAGCGAAAGUGACGGUACCUGCAGAAAAAAGCGCCGGCUAACUACGUGCCAGCAGCCGCGGUAAUACGUAGGGCGCAAGCGUUAUCCGGAAUUAUUGGGCGUAAAGAGCUCGUAGGCGGUUUGUCGCGUCUGCUGUGAAAAUCCCGAGGCUCAACCUCGGGUCUGCAGUGGGUACGGGCAGACUAGAGUGCGGUAGGGGAGAUUGGAAUUCCUGGUGUAGCGGUGGAAUGCGCAGAUAUCAGGAGGAACACCGAUGGCGAAGGCAGAUCUCUGGGCCGUAACUGACGCUGAGGAGCGAAAGGGUGGGGAGCAAAACAGGCUUAGAUACCCUGGUAGUCCACCCCGUAAACGUUGGGAACUAGUUGUGGGGUCCAUUCCACGGAUUCCGUGACGCAGCUAACGCAUUAAGUUCCCCGCCUGGGGGAGUACGGCCGCAAGGCUAAAACUC
RNAcentral lists this ribosomal RNA (541 nucleotides) under uncultured bacterium. RNAcentral's name for it is "partial 16S ribosomal RNA". It matches the Rfam family "Bacterial small subunit ribosomal RNA", at positions 355 to 902 of the family's 1533-position model. The record is from RNAcentral.